This is a long non-coding RNA of Fundulus heteroclitus (mummichog), 1654 nucleotides long. RefSeq lists it as uncharacterized. Lineage: Eukaryota; Metazoa; Chordata; Actinopteri; Cyprinodontiformes; Fundulidae. The transcript is spliced from 2 exons. The record is from RefSeq and is a predicted model, not a curated record.
AAAGUGCCUUGAGAUGACAUGUUUCAUGAGUUGGCGCUAUAUAAAUUGAAUUGAAUUGAACAUGGUAAAGGCCAUGAGGGAUGCAGAUCUACCCAGCCUGCCGUGCAUGGCUCAUACACUGCAGCUUGCCGUUGCCGACGGAGUUCUAUCACAACGCAGCAUCGCUGAUAUAAUAGCCUAUGGAAGACGCAUCGUCGGUCAUUUCAAACAUUCCAAGCUUGCCUACUCUCGACUUCAAAAUAUUCAGAAGCAACUUGGCCAGCCUAUUAAGAGGCUCCAACAGGAUGUACCUACCAGGUGGAACAGUACAGUUAAUAUGCUACAGAGUCUGAUGGAACAGAAGUGUGCCCUAUGUGCUUAUGGAGCUGACUAUGACUUGCCUUCCAUGUUCACUGGCAGCCAGUGGAAAUUGGUGGAAAAUAUGAUUUCUCUACUAGCCCCGUUUGAAGAGCUCACGCACCAGAUCAGCUCAUCAACUGCAUCGGCUGCAGAUAUUAUACCAUCCAUCAGAGCCUAAACCCGUCUUCUGGAGAAAGCCGCUGAGACGGACCACGGUGUAAAAACUUCAAAAGCAGCAUUGUUGGAAGCGGUCCAGAACAGAUUCAGUGACAUUCAAUCGAAGCGCCUGUAUACCAUCGCAACAGUGCUCGAUCCGAGGUAUAAAGACAGAUAUUUCUCCGACGCACUCAAGCCCCAGAUUCGCGGGCUGCUUUCUGAUGUCCUUGCUACUGGACAGGAGCAGCAAAAUGGUGAGGCAAGUUUGGAAGCGACUGGCACCGAGCCCCCAGAGAAAGUAUCACGAGCUGGCUCCUUACACGCUAUGUAUGCUGAGUUGUUGGAUGAAGACGGGGAACAUGGUGGCGGUGACAUCAGCAGCUCAACAUCAUCGCAGAUGAACCUCUACCUAUCAGAGCCAGUCAUCCCACGGAGCGGACAGCCGCUUGUUUUUUGGCGAGACAAUAAAAGUCGUUUCCCCACUCUCGCACAAGCAGCACAAGCCUACCUCUGUACUCCAUGCACAAGUGUAGAUAGUGAGCGACUUUUUAGCACAGCAGGGAAUAUUGUAGAUGAGAAGAGGAACAAGCUGUCUGCCAAAAAUGCAGAGAUGCUUAUAUUUCUAAAGAAAAAUCUGCCAUUGAUGCUUAACAAGUAAGCUUUAAGAGAAAUGGCUUUACUAAUCUCUAUUCCUCUUCUUUCUUUCUCAUUCACUCAUGAUUUCCAUGCUAUGCACUUUAAAUGUAUGUAGAUUUAAAGGAGCUAAAAGAACAUUUAAAGUUAGCAUUUGUUUGAAAUUUACAAAACUUUAUUACUACUGAAAAUGUCUGCAGUGAUUAGAAGGACAUUUUAGAUUUUGAGCUAGGACAAAAAGCCAACCAAUUACUGAUAUAUUAAUAAUAUAAUAAUAAUUAUUUAAAUAAAAAUAAUAAUUUAGAUAAUAUAAUAUUAUCUAAAGAUGCGUGACCGUUCCGUCAUGGCUUCUAUUUUCAGUUAAUUACCGCAGGACAAGCCUAAAAUACAUACCUUAUGCCUUUUUAUCAUGGCAUCCCAAAAUAUUUGAUUUUGUUUUCUUUGCUCUGCACUUUAAGUUUAAGUACACUUUAAGUUUGUGUAAAUUAACAAUGACAGAUUUUUUUGUAUCUUAUUUAGAAAUAAG